This 253-nucleotide ribosomal RNA is filed under the name uncultured bacterium. RNAcentral's name for it is "partial 16S ribosomal RNA". It matches the Rfam family "Bacterial small subunit ribosomal RNA", at positions 524 to 776 of the family's 1533-position model. The record is from RNAcentral.
UACGUAGGGGGCUAGCGUUGUCCGGAAUCAUUGGGCGUAAAGCGCGUGUAGGCGGUUCGGCAAGUCCGCUGUGAAAGUCGGGGGCUCAACCCUCGAAUGCCGGUGGAUACUGUCGAACUAGAGUGCGGAAGAGGCGAGUGGAAUUCCUGGUGUAGCGGUGAAAUGCGCAGAUAUCAGGAGGAACACCAAUUGCGAAGGCAGCUCGCUGGGACGUAACUGACGCUGAGACGCGAAAGCGUGGGGAGCAAACAGG